Molecule: transfer RNA, 85 nt
Rfam family: tRNA
About the family: Transfer RNA (tRNA) molecules are approximately 80 nucleotides in length. Their secondary structure includes four short double-helical elements and three loops (D, anti-codon, and T loops).
Source: Rfam
UCCUCGAUGGUCUAGUGGUCAUGAUUUCCGCUUGUCAUGAAAAUGUCAAGCGCGGGAGACCAGGGUUCGAUUCCCUGUCGGGGAG